GCAAAUAUGUGGACCCAGAACAGGACAGCUGCCGCCUCCCUACCGCAGCCGCGUAAGCUAGCAACCGCACCUGUGGACAAGAUAUGAGGGAUCAGCGGUUUCCUUUGCACACCUCCAAAUCCCAAAACGAGUCCUAGCUACAAGUGUAUCGAUCAGAUAGCUCUGCCAACAUACUUGGAGGAUAUUAGUUUGGGUGUUUAGCACACGGGACAUGACAAAGUCAUAUCUACAUGACGGACAGUGUGCUACUAAAGUUUAGCCUUAUUUUGAAUUAUCCGAAUGCAGUGAUCUAUUUUGCAAAUCGUCAUUUACAAAGUACCAAGUGCCUUCCAACAAUGGUAAGAAAUUUAUCAACCACGAUCUUAAGAAUACGGAAGAGCUUCACUUCACUUUCAUUUCACAAUGAAUUUGGACUGGAAGAUAAGAGUUGGGGUCUUUACCAGAC
Long non-coding RNA from Rhodamnia argentea, 445 nucleotides. RefSeq lists it as uncharacterized. NCBI's taxonomy places the organism in Eukaryota, Viridiplantae, Streptophyta, Magnoliopsida, Myrtales, Myrtaceae. The transcript is spliced from 3 exons. The record is from RefSeq and is a predicted model, not a curated record.